Erythranthe guttata (spotted monkey flower) is the source of this 1832-nucleotide non-coding RNA. The record is from RefSeq and is a predicted model, not a curated record. Lineage: Eukaryota; Viridiplantae; Streptophyta; Magnoliopsida; Lamiales; Phrymaceae.
AUUCAUCUGCAACUAAACCCUAGUGUCUGGAAAUCAGAUCAGCUUGCAGAGAAAGUAUUACAUAUUAAUGGCGAUCCAGCUAAACCCUAGCAGUGAUGAAUUAUGCAUUUCACCAACUAUAAUACCAAAUUCAUCUACUAAUUAGUAUAUUUACAAGCAGUAUGGAGGUGAAUUAUCCUUCGGGGAGAUGCCGCACGAAAACCAGAAGAAUUUCGAUGCGAGUAGAGAAACCGAAUUGCCGCUAUAAAGUAUAAUGAUUCAGGGAAGACGUGUUUGUGCAAAACUCUUACGAGAAAUUACGCUACUAAAACGAGUGCUUUCGCUCGUGUUUGUGCAAAAGAUUGCUUUUGGAAAUCGAUAUACCGAGAUUCUUCAACGAACAUACACAUCACAGAUCGUAUCAUGUGCUGAAACUGAAACGACAUUCAAGGUUAGUUCUCCACACCCCCAAACAAACAGCCGAUAAUUAUUUAAUUACUUGUAAAUAUAUGUUCUAUUCGUGCGUUAAGUAUAUCGAAAACAGAGGAAAGCGUGGCAUAAAAACAAACGGUGUAUAUUUACCGAGCUGUAUUAAUGAGAAAUGCUGCUAGCUUUUUCCCAAGUUGCAAUUCAAAUUUGUUGGAUUUGAUUUUGGGGCUUUAUUUUCACCCAAACCUGAUUUUAAUUAAAUAAUCACGUGCCGAUUUUCUUCCCAAUUUGCAAACGAAUGAUCCUUCUUGUUUGAUAAAUUAUCAUGUUCAAUAACUUUGCUAGUUUUCUUUCUCUGAUAUGGUGGUGAUUGAUUAUUGCAAUUAAAAGUUCAUUUACUGAAACUCGAGGGUGGGGGUGGGGCUCGGGGCGGGGUGAUCCUCAUUCAUAUCUUUGCUUUAUCCCAUGAUAAGUAUGCUCUUCAUUAGCCUCGAUUUUCUAUUUAGUAGUUCAGUCUUUUUUAUCAAUCAUCAUUUCUCAAUUAAUAUAUAUGCCAACUGUUAACUAGAUUGCUUCAUCAGCAUCGGGGAGCCAAACCAAACAUACUACAAUUCUUGAAAAUUAAUAAAUUUAUAUACGAAAUAUUAGGUUUUUAAGAAUUACUAUAAGUAGGUGAAGGACCAGAGACAUAGGGCAUCUCGUCGGGGACCUCAAGUUCUCUAUCGUUCUAUGUACGAUGUUAUCUAAUUAAAUCCCACUUGGUAUAAAUUUCAUAUUUAUGCUUGUUUUUACGUUAAUUAAUUGUUGCUAACUGCGCUGUUAACUCUAGAUCUCUCUUGUGCCUAUAUGUAUAGGCUCUACAAUGCAUAUAUUAACUAUGAUUGUCUUUAAUUGUUGUGAGAAUCUGUUGGAGCUAUGAACUGGCUACUUUUUGCAGCAGUACGUACUGUGAUAUACUAGCGAGCACCCGAAAAGGGAGACGAAAACAUGGGUUGUUUGCAAUGGGAACUUUUAUUAUGACUUAAAAGGAGAACUUUAUUUAAAAGUCUUGCACUGGUAAAAGAGAUUUGAGUGAGGGCCUUGUUUUGCUGUUAUUGUUAUGUGAAUAGUGGGAUAACAUAGGCUUAAAGUAGACCGGAAAUCGUACGGUUCAGAUUUGAAAUUUAGUAUCGACGUUUAAAAACUUCGAAGUUAAAGACUUGUUCGGAAUCGAAGAUGUUCUGAUGGGAUGCGAUUGCAAUUGGAAAAAGAAAGAAAAGCUAUAAAUGUUACAGGUGGUAUGGGCCACAAUGUAGAAGCCGGCAGACCAAAAGGCACAUGCUAUCUGAUCAUUAACAGUCAUUUUAGAUAAAAAGCAAAAACUAUUAAAUAAAUAUUAAUGUUUUUAAUUAUUGACCCAAAUAAGAUGAUGGAAGGGAAGACAA